This 439-nucleotide ribosomal RNA is filed under the name uncultured bacterium. RNAcentral describes it as "partial 16S ribosomal RNA". It matches the Rfam family "Bacterial small subunit ribosomal RNA", at positions 339 to 795 of the family's 1533-position model. The record is from RNAcentral.
CUACGGGUCGCUGCAGUGGGGAAUAUUGCACAAUGGAGGAAACUCUGAUGCAGCAACGCCGCGUGGAGGAUGACACUUUUCGGAGCGUAAACUCCUUUUAUAUAGGAAGAUAAUGACGGUACUAUAUGAAUAAGCACCGGCUAACUCCGUGCCAGCAGCCGCGGUAAUACGGAGGGUGCAAGCGUUACUCGGAAUCACUGGGCGUAAAGAGCGUGUAGGCGGGUUAAUAAGUCAGAAGUGAAAUCCUAUGGCUCAACCAUAGAACUGCUUUUGAAACUGUUAACCUAGAAUAUGGGAGAGGUAGAUGGAAUUUCUGGUGUAGGGGUAAAAUCCGUAGAGAUCAGAAGGAAUACCGAUUGCGAAGGCGAUCUACUGGAACAUUAUUGACGCUGAGACGCGAAAGCGUGGGGAGCAAACAGGAUUAGAUACCCCGGUAGUC